AGGAGAGAGGAGGGAGGAAGAAGAAGGGAAGAGAGAGAGAGAGAGAGAGAGAGAGAGAGAGAGAGAGAGAGAGAGAGAGAGAGAGAGCUGACAGACGGAAUACCCGGAGAGGUUCCAGCACAUAGCGAGUAUCUCUGUGUUUGAUUUUGGGGGAGAAAAGCUUGGAAGAACACAAAGAUUACAUAGAGAGAAAAGAAGAGAGAGAGAGAGAGAGAGAGAGAGAGAGAGAGAGAGAGAGAGAAGAGUGCAGAGGAAAAGACGAGAAGGAGAUCCCUUUUUUUCUUUAACAAGAAAAAAUUCCUAUUCGUUUUCUUUCUACUCAAGCAGAUUCUCAUUUCGUGUUGUUCCUUCAAUUACUUCAUCCAUUUCUCGUAAUAACAUCUUCCAAAGGCAGCUUCCUGUCCAGUACUAGACGCUCUCACCGAGGGGGAGGGUUUUCGGAAAAAUUCUGAGAGAAGAGAGAGGUGAAGGAGAUAACCGAAGAUCAAGUCACUUAACCGGUCAUUCUGUUAUCUGUGUACUUGCAGAUUUGAAGCUCUCGUACUGCGGUGGGUACUUUCCAGCUUUGCUACUAGCUGUAAAUUUUACGGCUCCAUCGUAUAAUCGUAUCAUCCUCAGUUGAUGAUUUUCUGUUAUUAGGCAGUUGGAUUCUCUUUUCAACAUGAACAACUCAUAUGGUGAAGAACAUGAUGAAGCAGUUGUUAUGGGAUUCGAAGUUCCAAAAUCUCCAGAUUCAAGUUACAAUAAUGUGUACCCUGGAAUGAGAUGAGCACGAGACCCUCUCUGGUUCCCCUCACUGCAGCAUACCUUGCUCAGCUACCCAGCAGCAUGGACA
Carica papaya (papaya) is the source of this 835-nucleotide non-coding RNA. Lineage: Eukaryota; Viridiplantae; Streptophyta; Magnoliopsida; Brassicales; Caricaceae. The record is from RefSeq and is a predicted model, not a curated record.